This 207-nucleotide ribosomal RNA is filed under the name uncultured bacterium. RNAcentral describes it as "partial 16S ribosomal RNA". It matches the Rfam family "Bacterial small subunit ribosomal RNA", at positions 568 to 774 of the family's 1533-position model. The record is from RNAcentral.
UAGGUAGGUGGUCUCAUUUGUCUGGGGUGAAAGCCUUGAGCUUAACUCAAGAAGUGCCCCAGAAACGGUGAGACUAGAGUCCUGGAGAGGGUCGUGGAAUUCCCGGUGUAGCGGUGAAAUGCGUAGAGAUCGGGAGGAACACCAGAAGCGAAGGCGACGACCUGGACAGGAACUGACACUCAACUACGAAAGCGUGGGGAGCAAACA